Molecule: long non-coding RNA, 2474 nt
Organism: Papaver somniferum (opium poppy)
Lineage: Eukaryota; Viridiplantae; Streptophyta; Magnoliopsida; Ranunculales; Papaveraceae
Exons: 4
Source: RefSeq, a predicted model, not a curated record
UAAUUUUUUUUCCUCCUCAAAUCCAUUUUUUUCCUCCUCAAAUUCAUUUUUUCCAGAUUUUAUACCGAUCUUCAUCUAGAAAAAAGAACAAAAAUAAAUCUAAGAACUACUAAACAACAUCAUACAUGUCAGAUUUAGCGAUUCAUUCAUUGGCAACGUAUGCCAAAUUUUGCAAAAAGCAUAUAUGAUUGAAUUUCUGGAAAUUUCUGAAAAUCAUCUAAAAAUAAAGGAUAUGAUGCGAAUUAUACAAUUCUUCAUCGUUGGAAAUCAAACCUCUCCUGCUUCGGCCUCUUACAUGUCCCUAUAUUUAUCAACUUAGGGUUUCAGUUUGUAUUUGAUUUAGGUUUUAUUUGGCGAGAGUAUCUGAUGAGAUAAUUACUGUAUACUGAGAUCAACACCACCACUACCAACAACAGUUUCUAAAGCUAGCAUUACAGAACCGCAGAACAUGUUCAAUUGAUGCAAUCAACAACCAGGCAGUCUACGGUAGCUUGACAAACAAUUUUGAAGUGCACGGCGCUUCUCCUACAAGGCCACACAUGGAAAACAAAAAGAGAAUUGCUCCAAUUGAUUUGGCAGUUUACAAAAGGCAAGUGCUCAUUCUAAUACCGUUGUUAAGUAAGGCAUAGAUUUGAACCAGUUAUAUUGGAAGUAAUGUUGUUCUAUAUUGAGGAGAUAUUAAUUUUUCUUUGCACGCGUGAUACAAUGAAUAUAAACCUAUGGGUGAAUGGACAAAUGUUGUUAAUGAUGUGAUGGAAGGUAAUGGAAAAGAUCCAAUAAUACUGAUAGCAACAGGUACAACUAUGCAACAGUUACAACUAUCAAGGAACAUCAAGGUGGGUAGUUGGGUAUUUCAAAUAUUUAACAAAAACAACCUGCAAUGACUGUUAUGGCUUACCUACUGUGUCUACAUCAAGGGUCUUUGCCAGUCUAGAUGCACCAGAGGUCUGUGAUCUGAGAACACAGUAAGUAGACGUAUUAUAUGUGUUGGUAGAAAGGUGUUAUUUGUUUGAGAAAGGGAAACUUUCAUAUAUCCAAGUGGAGUGGUGUCCAUAUUUUGAUCCCUCUCUUGAAUUACUUCUAAUUAAUCCUUUUUGUAGACAUUAUUUGUUCUUAAUGGGUCUGGAUUAACUGUGUUCUUGCUUUAAUGUCUUCACACAAAAUUUACUUCUCUUAUGUUCAUAAGUUUCUGAACAUCGAUCUGUUUCAACUGGGAAUUAAUUUUGAUCAACUUUCCCUGGCAUUUUCUUUGUGACUUUUGUUGAUCCUCAUCUGGCAAUUGUGCAUAAAUAUUUGUACCAUGUGCAUUCUUUUUUUUAUUGUCCAUUUUUGCAGAGAUUUGUUGCACUUUAAAUCCAAAUAAGUGCAGCUGAUUUUGCUGAAGCUGAUCUCCUAUAGACUAAAAUUCUAUCUGCCAUUGCCAAUGCUGAUUAUACGAAUUCCAAUUCUGUUGUUCCACUAAUAUAAUUUACCACUUUAGGGUUCCAAUUCUCGAAUACCUUGGUGAUAGUUUACUUCAUCUGAUCAAACAAUAUAGAGGUCUCAAUAUGAAUAAAACUCCCAUGCAAAACCUAAACCGGUAUCUCUUUUUUGCUAUAUGAGACGUCCAUAUAUGCAAAACCUAAAUCUCAUUGUUUUUGCGCGGCACUCUCCUUCAGCUUGAUUUUUUUUUUGUCGUCUACUUGAUUUUUUUUUGUUGUUUUUUCUUUGCAGGUCAUAACACUGUAGAGCUGCUUCUCUUCUCCAAGAACAUCUUGCUGCCUCGGUAAUCUUAUCUAUCGUUUCUAAUUCAUCAUUUAGAGCAAAAAUUGUUAGGGUUUAUUUUUAUGAUUGUUAGGGUUUUAUGUUGAUUUUCAUUGAUGAGCAUAUAUCCAAGAAUUGUAAACGACAUGUAUACCGCUCGAACCCACCGUUUUUCAUUCCGCGUUCAUCUAUUAGGAAACCCACCGUUUAAGUUGAUAUUCAAAUUUAGUUGACAUUCAAAUUUUAUUAUCAAGAUGUUGCUUACUCAAAUAAUCGGAGGAUAGCCAUUGUAGUGGAUGAUGAGUACAACUACUGAUUCAAUGGAUUGAGUUUCCGCAUGAUAUGAUUGAUAAUGUGUGAUGACAAUGAUGUGGGUGGCAAUGCCUACCACAUGUGACUUUUAUGAAAGAGUUCAACAAGACUGCUACAUCAUUGUCUUAGAUAAUUUUACAAAUGUUUUUACACGUCAAGAACAAAAAAUGAACUAAGAAAUCUUUCCCUGAACCAUGUAUUAAAAUCAAACCCCUUUAAUAGGUCAGGAAGAAAUAGCCCUGUUUGGAUUAUUCACUUUUGAAGAUUAUUUUUUCAGUGUCAAAAACGUGUAUUGUGUUGUCAGUGGGGCAAAUACCCCACUCAGGUGCAGUAUUUAUUUUUAAAUGUAUUCUUUUGGGACGAUUUCUUAAUCUCUGACACUAAAUGGUAAUUGGUGAAUUUAAUUUUGAUUGUUAAUC